CCUACGGGGGGCAGCAGUGGGGAAUAUUGGACAAUGGGGGGAACCCUGAUCCAGCCAUGCCGCGUGUGUGAAGAAGGCCCUCGGGUUGUAAAGCACUUUCAGUGAGGAAGAACGCCUGGUGGUUAAUACCCAUCAGGAAAGACAUCACUCACAGAAGAAGCACCGGCUAACUCCGUGCCAGCAGCCGCGGUAAUACGGAGGGUGCGAGCGUUAAUCGGAAUUACUGGGCGUAAAGCGCGCGUAGGUGGCUUGAUAAGCCGGUUGUGAAAGCCCCGGGCUCAACCUGGGAACGGCAUCCGGAACUGUCAAGCUAGAGUGCAGGGGAGGAAGGUAGAAUUCCCGGUGUAGCGGUGAAAUGCGUAGAGAUCGGGAGGAAUACCAGUGGCGAAGGCGGCCUUCUGGACUGACACUGACACUGAGGUGCGAAAGCGUGGGUAGCAAACAGGAUUAGAUACCCGUGUAGUC
RNAcentral lists this ribosomal RNA (465 nucleotides) under Vreelandella stevensii. RNAcentral's name for it is "partial 16S ribosomal RNA". It matches the Rfam family "Bacterial small subunit ribosomal RNA", at positions 338 to 795 of the family's 1533-position model. Lineage: Bacteria; Pseudomonadati; Pseudomonadota; Gammaproteobacteria; Oceanospirillales; Halomonadaceae. The record is from RNAcentral.